AAAAAACAUGGAGUCAGCUCCGGCAGCCCCCGACCCCGCCGCCAGCGAGCCAGGCAGCAGCGGCGCGGACGCGGCCGCCGGCUCCAGGGAGACCCCGCUGAACCAGGAAUCCGCCCGCAAGAGCGAGCCGCCUGCCCCGGUGCGCAGACAGAGCUAUUCCAGCACCAGCAGAGGUAUCUCAGUAACGAAGAAGACACAUACAUGGCAGGCAUGGUACAGAGCGCUUCCUUGCACAGCCUUGCCCAUGAGCUCGUCCCUGGCCCGGAGGGACCCACUCUAGAGGUGGGACCAACAGAAAAUUGCAAACUCCUGAGUGGAAACCUUCACGAGGGCUCCGCAAAUUGGUGCUCUCUUCUCCUGGUUUCAUCCCGCA
Molecule: non-coding RNA, 373 nt
Filed under: Pan troglodytes (chimpanzee)
Lineage: Eukaryota; Metazoa; Chordata; Mammalia; Primates; Hominidae
Also listed under: 1 other name
Source: RNAcentral